AUUGAACGCUGGCGGCAUGCCUUACACAUGCAAGUCGAACGGCAGCGGGGGAGAAGCUUGCUUUUCCUGCCGGCGAGUGGCGAACGGGUGAGUAAUACAUCGGAACGUGCCCUGUAGUGGGGGAUAACUAGUCGAAAGAUUAGCUAAUACCGCAUACGACCUGAGGGUGAAAGGGGGGGACCGCAAGGCCUCAUGCUCAAGGAGCGGCCGAUGUCUGAUUAGCUAGUUGGUGGGGUAAAGGCCUACCAAGGCGACGAUCAGUAGCUGGUCUGAGGGGACGAUCAGCCACACUGGGACUGAGACACGGCCCAGACUCCUACGGGAGGCAGCAGUGGGGAAUUUUGGACAAUGGGCGAAAGCCUGAUCCAGCAAUGCCGCGUGUGUGAAGAAGGCCUUCGGGUUGUAAAGCACUUUUGUCCGGAAAGAAAUGGCUCUGGUUAAUACCUGGGGUCGAUGACGGUACCGGAAGAAUAAGGACCGGCUAACUACGUGCCAGCAGCCGCCGUAA
Molecule: ribosomal RNA, 508 nt
Filed under: uncultured bacterium
Lineage: Bacteria
Description: partial 16S ribosomal RNA
Rfam family: Bacterial small subunit ribosomal RNA
Source: RNAcentral